AUUUGAAUUUCAGAUAAACAAGCAUAACUUUUAGUAUAAGUACAUCCCAAGUGCUUCAUGGGAUGUAUUAUCCUAAAAAAAUUAUUUGUUUAUCUGAAAUUCAAAUUUAACUGGGUGUCCUGUAUUUUUCUCUGCUAAGACCGGCUACCCUACUUUCAUUUUCCUUUCACUCUUCUUGGCUCUUUUGGGCCUUUUAGGAAUUUGGGAUGAUUCAGGCUCUGACAGGCAUGGUACUAGAUUUAUUUUAGGCUGCUCUUUUGCUGUUGUCCAACAGGCCAAGGAGAGAUUUAAAUGAUUUAUCCAAUAUUUGCUAAAUAGUCAUGUGUUUCAUUUAUCCCAUAUAUAGUUCAGCCUUAAUAUUGUUUUUGUUUUGAUUUGUUACACUAGUGCAUACAUAGAGACGUGAAGCCAGAAAAUAUCCUCAUCACGAAACAUUCCGUGAUUAAGCUUUGUGACUUUGGAUUUGCUCGGCUUUUGACUGGACCGAGUGACUACUAUACAGACUACGUGGCUACCAGGUGGUACCGCUCCCCUGAGCUGCUGGUGGGGGACACGCAGUACGGCCCCCCGGUGGAUGUUUGGGCAAUUGGCUGUGUCUUUGCUGAGCUGCUGUCAGGAGUGCCUCUGUGGCCAGGAAAAUCGGAUGUGGAUCAGCUGUAUCUGAUUAGGAAGA
This 673-nucleotide long non-coding RNA is filed under the name Homo sapiens (human). Its description in RNAcentral is "non-protein coding lnc-L2HGDH-1:2". Lineage: Eukaryota; Metazoa; Chordata; Mammalia; Primates; Hominidae. The record is from RNAcentral.